Scylla paramamosain (green mud crab) is the source of this 1024-nucleotide long non-coding RNA. RefSeq lists it as uncharacterized. The record is from RefSeq and is a predicted model, not a curated record. The transcript has 4 exons. Lineage: Eukaryota; Metazoa; Arthropoda; Malacostraca; Decapoda; Portunidae.
AAGGCUCCACUUCUGAACCACCUCCACGUCCUGGCUGGGUUAGGAAAUGUGGAUUGCAACCGUACAUUGGUGAGGUUAUGGAAGUUGUGUUCCACCAUCACACCGCUAUCUUGAAUGGAACCACACAAGCAUGUAAAGGACAAUUUACAUGUGUACCUGCAUAGAAAUAUUCGAGCACCGUUACGGAUGUUGGUAAUUUAAGGAUAUUAAGCAAGAGCCGCCGCCGACCUGGUGUCAGCAUUGGUGUGGUGGCCUGCCCGGUGGCUGGAAAAGUGAAGAGGCUAUGGGGCGUUGGGGCAGCAAGGAAUUACCACCACCCUUGCUGCCCAUUUCCCGGUCAUAUGCACAGGUAUAUGUGCCAUGUUAUGAAAACAGCAGCGGCAGCAACAACACUGAACAGAAAAAUAACAGUAGCAGCAGCAAUAGCAACAAGAACAAUGGCGAGAAUGAAUGGCAGAAGCGGCAGCAGCAGCACCAGUGGCGAGAAAAAUGACAGCAGCAGUAGCAGCAGCAACAAUAAUGGCGAGAAAAAUGGCAACAUCAACAACAACAUUAAUAAUGGUGAGAAAAAAAGGCAGCAGCAACAGCAGCAGAAACAAUGGCGGGAAAAACGGCAGCAGCAGCAGUGAGGAUUCAUCUGUCAAAGAAGACUGCAGACUUGAACAAUUUGAUAGUUUUCUUGAUCCUCCCACUGCCAUAGGACUUGGUUUAAUUCCGGCCUCUGCCUUUGGUCCUGGAAUGAUAAUAUAUCAGUGCUAACUGGAUAUUGUUCCAAUCAGUUUUGGACAUCACCUUCCAAUUAGAGUUGUAAUUUUCAAUAGAUUCUCUCUUUACUGCAUACAAUAUGGUGGUCAUGAUUUCUGGUAUUUUGUAACAAAUUUGUGUACACGCAAAACACACCCACAAACCUAAACUUCAUAUUUUUUAACAAACCACCAUAACCACAAAUGGUUUCUUGUUGAAAAGCAUAAUUCAAACAUUCUGUGGUACUUAAGAGUAAAAUCUCACUAAACUGAACCCAAAA